UUUUUGGACGUCGACCGGCGCACGGGUGAGUAACGCGUAUCCAACCUUCCCAUGACUAAGGGAUAACCUGCCGAAAGGCAGACUAAUACCUUAUGGUCUUCACUGACGGCAUCAGAUGUGAAGUAAAGAUUUAUCGGUUAUGGAUGGGGAUGCGUCUGAUUAGCUUGUUGGCGGGGUAACGGCCCACCAAGGCGACGAUCAGUAGGGGUUCUGAGAGGAAGGUCCCCCACAUUGGAACUGAGACACGGUCCAAACUCCUACGGGAGGCAGCAGUGAGGAAUAUUGGUCAAUGGGCGAGAGCCUGAACCAGCCAAGUAGCGUGCAGGAUGACGGCCCUAUGGGUUGUAAACUGCUUUUGUAUGGGGAUAAAGUCAGUCACGUGUGAUUGUUUGCAGGUACCAUACGAAUAAGGACCGGCUAAUUCCGUGCCAGCAGCCGCGGUAAUACGGAAGGUCCGGGCGUUAUCCGGAUUUAUUGGGUUUAAAGGGAGCGUAGGCUGGGGAUUAAGUGUGUUGUGAAAUGUAGACGCUCAACGUCUGACUUGCAGCGCAUACUGGUUUCCUUGAGUACGCACAACGUUGGCGGAAUUCGUCGUGUAGCGGUGAAAUGCUUAGAUAUGACGAAGAACUCCGAUUGCGAAGGCAGCUGACGGGAGCGCAACUGACGCUGAAGCUCGAAGGUGCGGGUAUCGAACAGGAUUAGAUACCCUGGUAGUCCGCACAGUAAACGAUGGAUGCCCGCUGUUGGUACCUGGUAUCAGCGGCUAGGCGAAAGCAUUAAGCAUCCCACCUGGGGAGUACGCCGGCAACGGU
RNAcentral lists this ribosomal RNA (812 nucleotides) under uncultured Bacteroidota bacterium. RNAcentral's name for it is "bacterial SSU rRNA". It matches the Rfam family "Bacterial small subunit ribosomal RNA", at positions 81 to 895 of the family's 1533-position model. Lineage: Bacteria; Pseudomonadati; Bacteroidota. The record is from RNAcentral.